RNAcentral lists this ribosomal RNA (253 nucleotides) under uncultured bacterium. Its description in RNAcentral is "partial 16S ribosomal RNA". It matches the Rfam family "Bacterial small subunit ribosomal RNA", at positions 524 to 776 of the family's 1533-position model. The record is from RNAcentral.
UACGUAGGGUGCGAGCGUUAAUCGGAAUUACUGGGCGUAAAGCGUGCGCAGGCGGUUUUGCAAGCCAGUUGUGAAAUCCCCGGGCUUAACCUGGGAAUGGCAUUUGGGACUGCAAGGCUUGAGUGCGGCAGAGGAGACUGGAAUUCCCGGUGUAGCAGUGAAAUGCGUAGAUAUCGGGAGGAACACCGAUGGCGAAGGCAGGUCUCUGGGCCAUAACUGACGCUGAGAAGCGAAAGCAUGGGGAGCGAACAGG